This 951-nucleotide long non-coding RNA is filed under the name Homo sapiens (human). Its description in RNAcentral is "HSALNT0397975". The record is from RNAcentral. Lineage: Eukaryota; Metazoa; Chordata; Mammalia; Primates; Hominidae.
GUUAUUUGACUGGAGUGAGGUCUCAUGUCUGCUUAUGCGGUGGCUCGCUGCUCAGAACAGGGAGGAAGAGGGUAAUCUGGAAGAGUUUCCUGACCUACUCUGCUGCUGUGAUUAAACAACCACCAGGAAAUUUUGAUGACACUGUUCUCCUGAGCUCCUCCCUUUCCUCGGGGAAGAAAAGCAUUGAAACUACAAAAAUAAAGUGUUAUUUGGCUGGAGUGAGGUCUCAUGUCUGCUUAUGCGGUGGCUCGCUGCUCAGAACAGGGAACCAUUGGAGAUACUCAUUACUCUUUGAAGGCUUACAGUGGAAUGAAUUCAAAUACGACUUAUUUGAGGAAUUGAAGUUGACUUUAUGGAGCUGAUAAGAAUCUUCUUGGAGAAAAAAAGACUGGUACUUCUGAAUUAACCAAAAUCACAGUAUUCUGAAGAUGAUUCUACAAAGCCUGCUGUUUCUACAAAGGCUGCUGAUGAUUUCUACAAAGCCUGCUGUAGUGUUGCUGUGGCCUCUGCUUAAAAAAGUAGAAAACACAUUGAUGCAGCAUGUUCACCCCAACCUCCCUGCCUAAAGGCUCAGGGACCAUCUUGGAAGAGGAAGGCGCGUGAGAUUGUAAGAGCCGAAUUAGGGGGAUGGAGUGUGGAGAAUAAGGACACUUCAUCUUGGAUGCUCACCUGCCAAAUUGACUUCUGAUGAAAGCCAGCUCCAGAAAUGUGCCUACAGUUACUACUUUCACCUAAACCCUGCCCUUAGUCAAAUCCUUCUCUUCUUCUAAGCAAUCAACUUCAAUUCCUUGUAUAACCCACAGUAUAAAAGGGCUUUUAUACCAUUCUAUCCUAUUGCAUGUAAGCCUUGGGUCUGGGAGGUAACAGUGUGGGAUUCCACCAUCUCAUCUCCCUGCCACCCAAACAUGCCUGCUCUUCUUUAAGCAAUAUUAAAUGUUUGUACUUCAGAAA